This 253-nucleotide ribosomal RNA is filed under the name uncultured bacterium. RNAcentral describes it as "partial 16S ribosomal RNA". It matches the Rfam family "Bacterial small subunit ribosomal RNA", at positions 524 to 776 of the family's 1533-position model. The record is from RNAcentral.
UACGUAGGGGGCAAGCGUUGUCCGGAAUCAUUGGGCGUAAAGCGCGCGUAGGCGGCCCGGUAAGUCCGCUCUGAAAGUCCAGGGCUCAACCCUGGAAAGCGGGUGGAUACUGCCGGGCUAGAAUCCGGAAGAGGCGAGUGGAAUUCCUGGUGUAGCGGUGGAAUGCGCAGAUAUCGGGAGGAACAUCUGUGGCGAAGGCGACACCCUGGACCAGCACUGACACUGAGGCACGAAAGCGUGGGGAGCAAACAGG